CAUUACAUCGCAUUGCUUCAUAGGGUCUACACAGUACACAUUGCUUCCCAUCAACGCACUUAACAACAUUGGUGUUUACAGCCUGUAGUGCAGGACGUUAAGCAGCCUGCUCCCCUUUCCCAAGCAUCUCCUCUUCUCUUGUUCUCCUAUUUUCUACAUAAUACGGUUGCCGUGAUUGAAUCACAUAGCCCUAAUUCAACCCCACCACAUCUCCCCUCCCCCUCCCGGCUGUCUUUCCAGUUUCCCCCAAGUGCCACCAACUCUAAGGUCUCCUUCCCUGGGUCAAGGCUGCUGAAUAGCCGGACCCUGUGGCUGCUCCAUUUCCAGCAUCUCUGUCUCUCUCCAGUGCAUCCCCUUUCUCUCCUUCUCUCUCACUCUCUCUAUGAUUGGAAAUUUGGACCAACUCAUUUAGGUUCAAGUGAAUUUCUUCUCAAUUUGUAUUAGCUGAUCAAAUUUUAUCACACAUUUGAAUGUAAGAAAUGGGAGACGAUGCCCAGUUACGUACAUGGGUCUCUGAGAAGCUAUUCUCAAUCUUGGGCUACUCGUAGCCAGCAGUGGUCACCUUCAUUAUUGAAAUUGUCAGCUUCACCAACUAAUGUGGUUCAGAAACUUAUUGAAAAUGGCUUCUCAUCAUCAACAGUGACACACAUAUUUGCUGAAGCGAUCUAUUCUAAAGUUCCACAUAAGGCUUCUAGUUUAAAUGAUCAACUCAUUUAGGUUCAAGUGAAUUUCCUUCUGUUUCUCGAUUUCUAUUAGCUGAUCAAAUUUUAUCACAUUUGAAAGAAAUGGGAGAUGAUGCCCAGUUACGUACGUGGGCCUCUGAGAAGCUAUUCUCACUCUUGGGCUCCUCGCAGCCAGCAGCGGUAACCUUCAUUAUUGGAAUUGCAAAUAAAAUCUGCUUCACCAACUAAUGUGGUCCAGAAAUUUAUUGAGAAUGACUUCUCAUCAUCAAUAGAACGCACAUUUGCUGAAGAGAUCUAUGAUAAAGUUCCACAUAACGCUGCUGGUUUAAAUAAAGAUGAGCUUGAACUUUCCCACAUGGCCAUAGUGAGGAUUUGGCCGAUCGAGAGCCAUGAGUUCUUUCAUAGCUUGGAUCCACCCUUCGUGUUGUAAGCCCUCAGGAACAUUUUUAGGCUCAGUUGGAAUAGAGGCAAGAAGACCAUAGUGAGGAUUUGGUUUCACCGUGCCAUCUUUGGCCCGAGUCAUCAUUGGGUGGUUAUUUAUUCAUGGUUGACCUUGUUUGGUCACUCGCUGCUGCUCAAGGUAACCAGCAUGAGAAACUGGUUCGUGAUCUUUGUUGUCCAUAUUUGGAGCAAAAUGUUUUGUUCAAUAAAGGGUGUAACUGGAGCAUCAUUAUGCAUUUGAGUGAUAGAGUGAGCCCCAUCAAAGACGUCCUUAUGAUCUUGGGAGGCAAAGUCAUUCCAACUUCAUCAGCAGCAUUUGUAGAUGAAAAUAAAGCUCUUGGUUGUGUGAACAGAAAAUAUUCAUCAAGCAUCACAUGCCUGGAAAUAUUAAUUCACUCACUUGGAGGAUGAAGACACCUAUAGCCCUUAUGAAUGGAGUUGUAGCCAAGAAACACAUAUGGAAGUGAUCGAAGUUCAAACUCAUUUUUAGCAUAGUCCCUUAGGGAAAGCAUCGACUACCAAAGGCUCUUAAGCAUGAAUAUUUUGGUUGCCACUUAUAGAUGCAUUCAAAUGGUGACUUCCUUUUUAAUGUAAGCAUAGGAAGGCAGUUUAUUAACCAAGCAGCCGUGAGAAAAGCAUCAACCCAAUACCGUAGAGGAACAUGGGCUCAAAAGAGCAUUCAAUCCCAAGUCUACAACAGAUCGAUGACAUCUUUCAGCCAUUCCAUUUUGAGCAGCAGUUUUAAGACAACAUUUUAUAUGUGAAAUGCGAUGAUUCUUUAAAUAUAUGUCUAGUCUAUGAGUAGAAAAUUCU
This is a long non-coding RNA of Nymphaea colorata (pocket water lily), 1937 nucleotides long. RefSeq lists it as uncharacterized. Lineage: Eukaryota; Viridiplantae; Streptophyta; Magnoliopsida; Nymphaeales; Nymphaeaceae. The record is from RefSeq and is a predicted model, not a curated record. The transcript is spliced from 6 exons.